This 2655-nucleotide unclassified non-coding RNA is filed under the name Harpegnathos saltator (Jerdon's jumping ant). Its description in RNAcentral is "actin-like protein 6B, transcript variant X2". Lineage: Eukaryota; Metazoa; Arthropoda; Insecta; Hymenoptera; Formicidae. The record is from RNAcentral.
CAAGUUAAAACAAAUAAUCGGAUACAAAGAAUCAUCCACAAUCAAGCGUCUCACUGCUCAACGUGUCCUUUUCAGGACAGUCGCUAACAACGCGCCUUCUACAAACGGGACAAUACGUGCCACAUUUAAUUGCAAUAUCUGCUAUAGUUUACCCGUCAUUUUUUUUAUCAUCUCCUCGGUAAUUGAUCGAUUUCGCGUCUAUAAAAUAAUUCACCCUUGGAGCCAAUAAAAUCAUCAACGAUCCGAAAAACUUUUGCAAGCUUUCUGUAAGUAGAAACUCGAUCGAUAAAACGAUUAAAUUAUAAUAUACAACAGACAGAUCGAACAAAACGGAGCAUUGUCGCCGUAUGCAUAACUUCACACAAUCGAAUUACCACAGAAAAAUUACCCCCCCCGUUUUCUACAAAUCAAGACUUGAAAUUACGCUUAUCACUCUAUCUAAUACCGAUGAUCGAUUAGUCACGGGAGGGCAAUCACGCGCACGAGGGAUCCUCUCGCUUCGCUCGAGAGGGCAAGUGUACGCGUGUGCGAGCUUGCGUAUGUGUGGGAGCUUGUACGUGUGAUAAAGCGGCAAGCGUGGAGGGAAGCUCCAUCGGACAUGCGCCAGGCUUUCUCUCCCUUCAGGUACUAUGAGCGGUGGUGUCUACGGCGGUGACGAGGUAGGUGCUAUCAUCUUCGACGUCGGACAUCAGAGCCUUCGCGUGGGAUAUGGCGGCGAGGACACGCCGAAGGCCGAAAUCCCGACGGUCCUCGGGGUGUGGGAGGACCCGGCCGAACCCGGCGUCGACGGCAACAACAUCGCCAGGAAGCACUACAACAUGGACGUCACGGCCAUCCAAGUGCGAAAGAAGGAUAUGGAGAUAGUGAGCCUGAUGAAGGACGGCAUGAUCGAGGAUUGGGACAUGUUCGAGCGGCUGACUGAGUAUACUUACCAGCAACGCUUGCACGCCCUAGCCGAGCACCAUCCGAUCCUAAUGACCGAGUGCCCCUGGAACACCAGACUGAAGCGGGAAAAGUUGCUGGAGCUGAUGUUCGAGAAGUUCAACGUACCGGCCAUGUACAUCUGCAAGAACGCCGUGUUGGCGGCUUACGCUAACGGCAGGUCCACGGCGAUGGUCGUGGACAGCGGCGCCACGCACACCAGCGCGGUGCCGGUUCACGACGGUUACGUUAUCACUCAGGGAAUCGUCAAGAGCCCCUUGGGAGGCGACUUCAUCACUAUGCAGUGCAGACAGUUCUUCGAGGAGAAGGAUAUCGAAUUGGUGCCGGCUUGUCUGAUCGCUAGCAAGGACGUGGUGCGCGAGAGAGACCCUCCACGUUGGUCGAAACGACCUGGUCCUCAACCAACGUCUUCCUGGAUGAGCUACAUGGUGAGAGAAGUGCUGCAGGAUUUUCAAAUGAACUGCCUGCAAGUGUCGGAUAGUCCCUACGACGAAGACGUGGCGAACACUUUGCCCAUGAAGCACUUCGAAUUCCCGACCGGCUACAACGACGACUUUGGAUCCGUCAGGCUCAUGAUACCCGAAGCUCUUUUCGACCCCAGCAACGUCAAAGGUGUGGGUGCGAGUAUCUUGGGGGUUGGUCCUCUGGUCACCACGAGUGUCGGGAUGUGCGAUAUGGACAUCAGACCAAGUUUAUAUGGCAGCGUAGUGGUGACCGGUGGCAAUUCCUGCCUUCAGGGAUUCAGCGAGCGCUUGAAUCGAGACCUCGCCAGCAAAACGCCGCCGAGUAUGAGACUGAAAAUAAUUAGCGCGAACAGCUCGAGCGAGCGUCGCUACGGUGCUUGGAUCGGCGGCUCCAUUCUCAGCUCCUUGGGCUCGUUCCAGCAAAUGUGGCUGUCGCGGCAGGAGUACGAGGAGUCCGGCAAGAUAAUUUUAGAGAGAUGCGCAUAAUCCGCCUACGUGACGAGAGGUAUUCGUUAAUCGUGGUGCUAGAGAACCAGUUCUUUUUCGAGGUGGAUUGGAUCACUUAACUUUUUUAAGCACACACUCUAUAUCUGUUCGCCUCUUUCCGCUGGCCGAGUGGAAUCAACGUGUACUCGACGCUGAACUGGAAAAGCUAUUUAUAGCCUACCGAAAUUCCCUUGUGAUCUUAACGUUAUGAGAAUCUGUACGGAGAUACACAGACUUGCAUACUUCCAAACCGAGUGACUGCAUGUACCCGAGCAGAACAUCAUCCCACGGCCGUAUUAAAACCCCAUCCGGCUUCCAAACUUCAAAUAGGGCCCGGAUAAUUUUAUCGGAUCCGGCACGUAAUAACGAGUGAAACGCACUGCUGCAUAAUGAUAAAAUUACCCUGAUAAAAUUGCCUGAAAUCGAGAAACCCUGAUCAAAUGUCCAUCAGGACACCCAAAUCAGGCAUCCAAAUAAUGACGUCAUCGCUGGUCAGGGUAUAAUCCGGAAAAUAUUGCAAGACAAUUGUCACAUCCCGACCGGAUAAGGACCACUCGAAAUACCUUCUUAUAGCUUGCCUAGACAUGCCAUAUCAGGUAUAAAAAUUGCCGUAUUUGAUAUCUGCUCGGGCAUUUGCUCUCUAUCAGAGUUAAUCAAACGUUACGAUCCGAUUCCUACAUCUGUGAUAUAUCUCAAGGCUGAUACGCGAUUCUACGGGAUCCGCGCGGUUCGACAGCGCGGUUCGAUGGAUCAAGUGGAAUGC